Molecule: ribosomal RNA, 253 nt
Filed under: uncultured bacterium
Lineage: Bacteria
Description: partial 16S ribosomal RNA
Rfam family: Bacterial small subunit ribosomal RNA
Source: RNAcentral
UACGUAGGGGGCAAGCGUUGUCCGGAUUUACUGGGCGUAAAGAGCGCGCAGGCGGUCGUUCAAGUCGCGUGUGAAAGCCCCCGGCUCAACUGGGGAGGGUCACGCGAUACUGAUCGACUCGAAGGCAGGAGAGGGUAGUGGAAUUCCCGGUGUAGUGGUGAAAUGCGUAGAUAUCGGGAGGAACACCAGUGGCGAAGGCGACUACCUGGCCUGUUCUUGACGCUGAGGCGCGAAAGCGUGGGGAGCAAACAGG